This 72-nucleotide transfer RNA is filed under the name Culex quinquefasciatus (southern house mosquito). It matches the Rfam family "tRNA". Rfam says of the family: Transfer RNA (tRNA) molecules are approximately 80 nucleotides in length. Their secondary structure includes four short double-helical elements and three loops (D, anti-codon, and T loops). Further hydrogen bonds mediate the characteristic L-shaped molecular structure. tRNAs have two regions of fundamental functional importance: the anti-codon, which is responsible for specific mRNA codon recognition, and the 3' end, to which the tRNAs corresponding amino acid is attached (by aminoacyl-tRNA synthetases). tRNAs cope with the degeneracy of the genetic code in two manners: having more than one tRNA (with a specific anti-codon) for a particular amino acid; and 'wobble' base-pairing, i.e. permitting non-standard base-pairing at the 3rd anti-codon position. The record is from Rfam by way of RNAcentral. Lineage: Eukaryota; Metazoa; Arthropoda; Insecta; Diptera; Culicidae.
GCAGGCUUAGACGAGUAGUUAAGUUGUCCGCUUUGCAAGCGGAUGAUUCUGGGUUCGAUCCAAAGGCUUGGG